UACGGAGGGUGCGAGCGUUAAUCGGAAUUACUGGGCGUAAAGCGCGCUUAGGUGGUUUGGUAAGUCGGAUGUGAAAGCCCCGGGCUUAACUUGGGAAUUGCAUUCGAUACUGCUUAACUAGAGUAUGGUAGAGGGAAGCGGAAUUCCGGGUGUAGCGGUGAAAUGCGUAGAUAUCCGGAGGAACAUCAGUGGCGAAGGCGGCUUCCGGGACCAAUACUGACGAUGAGGUGCGAAAGCGUGGGGAGCAAACAGG
Molecule: ribosomal RNA, 253 nt
Filed under: uncultured bacterium
Lineage: Bacteria
Description: partial 16S ribosomal RNA
Rfam family: Bacterial small subunit ribosomal RNA
Source: RNAcentral